This 72-nucleotide transfer RNA is filed under the name Candidatus Thorarchaeota archaeon. Its description in RNAcentral is "tRNA-Ala". Lineage: Archaea; Promethearchaeati; Candidatus Thorarchaeota. The record is from RNAcentral.
GGGCCGGUAGAUCAGUGGUAGAUCGCUUCCUUGGCAUGGAAGAGGUCACGGGUUCUCCGGAACUGACUUCCA